Molecule: ribosomal RNA, 425 nt
Filed under: uncultured Moraxellaceae bacterium
Lineage: Bacteria; Pseudomonadati; Pseudomonadota; Gammaproteobacteria; Moraxellales; Moraxellaceae
Description: bacterial SSU rRNA
Rfam family: Bacterial small subunit ribosomal RNA
Source: RNAcentral
GGGGAAUAUUGGACAAUGGGGGGAACCCUGAUCCAGCGAUGCCGCGUGUGUGAAGAAGGCCUUAUGGUUGUAAAGCACUUUAAGCGAGGAGGAGGCUCUUUUGGUUAAUACCCAAGAUGAGUGGACGUUACUCGCAGAAUAAGCACCGGCUAACUCUGUGCCAGCAGCCGCGGUAAUACAGAGGGUGCGAGCGUUAAUCGGAUUUACUGGGCGUAAAGCGUGCGUAGGGGGCUUUUUAAGUCGGAUGUGAAAUCCCCGGCUUAACUUGGGAAUGGCAUUGGAUACUGGGAGGUUAGGGUAUGGGAGAGGUUGGAAGAAUUCCAGGUGAAGCGGGGAAAGGCUUAAAAACCUGGAGGAAUACCGAGGGCGAAGGCAGCAAUCUGGCCUAAUACUGACGCUGAGUAACGAAAGCAUGGGAGCAAACA